AGCGAACGUUAGCGGCGGGCCUAACACAUGCAAGUCGAGCGAGAAAGUGGCUUCGGCCAUCAGUAAAGCGGCGGACGGGUGAGUAACACGUAGGUAAUCUUCCCUUGAGCGGGGGACAACGUUUCGAAAGGAACGCUAAUACCGCAUAAGUUUCCAGGAACUCUGGUUCUUGGAAGGAAAGCUAGGUCGCAAGAUCCGGCACUCGAGGAGGAGCCUGCGUCGCAUCAGCUAGGUUGGUGGGGAAUGGCCUACCAAGGCGAAGACGCGUAGCUGGUCUGAGAGGAUGAUCAGCCACACUGGGAC
RNAcentral lists this ribosomal RNA (303 nucleotides) under uncultured bacterium. Its description in RNAcentral is "bacterial SSU rRNA". It matches the Rfam family "Bacterial small subunit ribosomal RNA", at positions 29 to 319 of the family's 1533-position model. The record is from RNAcentral.